This 276-nucleotide ribosomal RNA is filed under the name uncultured Alistipes sp. RNAcentral describes it as "partial 16S ribosomal RNA". It matches the Rfam family "Bacterial small subunit ribosomal RNA", at positions 65 to 339 of the family's 1533-position model. Lineage: Bacteria; Pseudomonadati; Bacteroidota; Bacteroidia; Bacteroidales; Rikenellaceae. The record is from RNAcentral.
AGCGGGAUUGAAGCUUGCUUCAAUUGCCGGCGACCGGCGCACGGGUGAGUAACGCGUAUGCAACCUACCUUUAACAGGGGGAUAACACUGAGAAAUUGGUACUAAUACCCCAUAAUAUCAUAGAAGGCAUCUUUUAUGGUUGAAAAUUCCGAUGGUUAGAGAUGGGCAUGCGUUGUAUUAGCUAGUUGGUGGGGUAACGGCUCACCAAGGCGACGAUCGGUAGCCGGACUGAGAGGUUGAACGGCCACAUUGGGACUGAGAGACGGCCCAGACUCC